UGCAAGGAGAGAGAACUGUAUUCCGUCGCCGGAGACGAAAGCUUCGCUGCUUAACGCCAUGAACUUCCUAUUUCAUCAGGGUUCUUCCGUCAAGAACUCCGGUCAACAUUGGGAUUCCUUCCUCUGCAAGUUUCAAAUUACAGCUUUCGUGUUUUUCUUUCGGAAUUUACCAGACUAGGUUCUUGGCUUCAUGGAUUCAAGUCCAUUCGCGUUUCUGUCGCAAUUGGGGCUGAAAGCAGACCCGUAAGCGGCGCACUUCACAUUCUUUGCGGUGCUACUCCUUGUUUGUUAUCUAAUUGUUCGCCUUUUUUGAAAAGAAACGUUGGCCGAAUGAGUCAAUUACUUCCCUAGCCAUGUUUCAGGUGAAGAAGAAACAGCUCUUCGCAACUUUCUGGCAAUCAUAUUGUUUGGUGCUUUUGGAAGGGUGAUAUCAUUCUUCAUCAUAUCAGUAGGUACAUUCCU
This is a long non-coding RNA of Cucurbita maxima (winter squash), 462 nucleotides long. RefSeq lists it as uncharacterized. The transcript is spliced from 3 exons. The record is from RefSeq and is a predicted model, not a curated record. NCBI's taxonomy places the organism in Eukaryota, Viridiplantae, Streptophyta, Magnoliopsida, Cucurbitales, Cucurbitaceae.